GGGUGCCCCUAAUAUGGUCCCCAAAAUAAAAGGUCCACCGGUGGUCCUUUAGUUUUGACCUGCAACUACAAGUUACACCUUUUUUGGCUUUUCUUUUUUAUUUAUUUUUAUUUCAUUCAACUUUGUCUUCUUAUUUGUAUAUCUUUUGUUUUUACAUUUAUGCCCUUAACUCAAAUCUACCCAUUAGAUAUAUCUCACGCUUCACACCAUGCCAUAUGUCAACGUUUAUUGAUUAAAACACAGAAAAUCUAUAACAAAAAAAAAACACAGAAAAUCAAAAACGAUCUUCUUCAUAACCAAAAGUAACAGAGCUUCUCUUUGAAGCCUCAGUCGCCGACCUCUUUCAUACCCACUCAACAAAAGUCACAAACCACCGUCGCCAUUUGAAUCUAACUACUGCAACCGGUUUGAACGAGAUGGUGGUAACUGAUAUGGCUAUAGAUCUAACCACCACAAAUACUGAAAAAGCUUCUUCUACAUAAUUUCACCGCGUUUCACCACCAACGUUUGCAUAAUUUCGUCGCUUUCUAACAAGUGAGUAUUUCCAUCUUGUUUUUCAUUCAAACAAUGUUAAUUUUACAAUUGGUUUAUUGGGCGCAUGGCCAAAGGCCCCUGUCUCUUGUAUGAAUGGCGGUGGAACCCCGAUAAUGGUUCGAGUGUUUGCUUCCGCUUAUGUUAUAGCUCGCUGCAGGAUUGUUUUUGCUGCUGCUUUCUGUUUUGUCCUCUGUGUUGUAGUUUUCUGUUUUUAGAUGGAAUGUUUUUUGGUUGUUGAGUUUGGCCUUUUUUUGUGUUUUGGAUUUGGGUGAUCGGUCCCUCCUGUACUGGUUUACUAAACCUUUAACACCCCUUUGUGUUGUGG
Molecule: long non-coding RNA, 859 nt
Filed under: Trifolium pratense (red clover)
Lineage: Eukaryota; Viridiplantae; Streptophyta; Magnoliopsida; Fabales; Fabaceae
Description: long non-coding RNA (TPRA_LNC000153)
Source: RNAcentral